UUUUGGAUGGCGGAAUUAUUAUUACACAUAGUGUAACUAAGGAUUUAAGUGUCAUACGAGAUUGUACUGCAAAUUUAUCGACACGGUACAAUAUGAUGCGUGCUGAAUAGUGUUAAUGUGUGCCGGUUUUUGGCCAUUAGAUUAAGAAAUGUGUGGUUAGGAUGAUGUGGACCUUCUAGGGUUGAGUGGGUGGUUGGUUGAAUAGUAUGAUCUAACGAGUGAAAAUGAUUAAAAGAGUAGAUCUAACGGCGGAAAACUUGGUAGCACCAAGUGUUUCGUGCUAUUAAUAGCAUAGUAACCGGACUCUAUAUAUAUGGCAUGAAAUAUUUAUUUUCUUUAACAAUAAUAUACUCUAAUUGCCUAUUAUGUAUUUUUAUUAAAUCUUUUAAAUUUUAUUGAAAAAAUUACUGAUUAAUUUAAAGAAUAUAGAGCUUUAAGUUGUGCCAUUGAUAUGACAAUUGUAUCGUGUCGAUAUUUUGUUGACACGAUGCAGUACGAUGGAUACGAGCUGAUGGGUGAUAUGAAAGUGAUCUAAUAGUAUAUUAUCGCAAUCUUUUGUUUGAAAGAGA
Molecule: long non-coding RNA, 569 nt
Filed under: Ananas comosus (pineapple)
Lineage: Eukaryota; Viridiplantae; Streptophyta; Magnoliopsida; Poales; Bromeliaceae
Description: long non-coding RNA (ACOM_LNC018776)
Source: RNAcentral